UUGUCAGCACCAGAGGCUGAUGCCUUUUAUUAUCUACAGAACAGGUGGACUGUGAUAGUACAGGCUCCCCCACAUGGAUCCGUCAAUAUGUCUUGACCCUCAACUGGCCGUGAAAGGAUAAUUUUUCAGUCUCCAGGGCCAUUCACUUAUUGGCCUCU
Molecule: small RNA, 158 nt
Filed under: Gopherus agassizii (Agassiz's desert tortoise)
Lineage: Eukaryota; Metazoa; Chordata; Testudines; Testudinidae
Description: TUC338 (ENSGAGG00000008109.1)
Source: RNAcentral